Molecule: ribosomal RNA, 275 nt
Filed under: uncultured prokaryote
Description: partial 16S ribosomal RNA
Rfam family: Bacterial small subunit ribosomal RNA
Source: RNAcentral
UACGAAGGGUGCAAGCGUUAAUCGGAAUUACUGGGCGUAAAGCGCGCGUAGGUGGUUCAGUAAGUUAGGAGUGAAAGCCCCGGGCUUAACCUGGGAAUUGCUUCUAAAACUGCUGAGCUAGAGUACGGUAGAGGGUGGUGGAAUUUCCUGUGUAGCGGUGAAAUGCGUAGAUAUAGGAAGGAACAUCAGUGGCGAAGGCGACCACCUGGACUGAUACUGACACUGAGGUGCGAAAGCGUGGGGAGCAAACAGGAUUAGAUACCCCUGUAGUCCCU